Molecule: ribosomal RNA, 641 nt
Filed under: uncultured Vibrio sp.
Lineage: Bacteria; Pseudomonadati; Pseudomonadota; Gammaproteobacteria; Vibrionales; Vibrionaceae
Description: bacterial SSU rRNA
Rfam family: Bacterial small subunit ribosomal RNA
Source: RNAcentral
AACACAUGCAAGUCGAGCGGAAACGACACUAACAAUCCUUCGGGUGCGUUAAUGGGCGUCGAGCGGCGGACGGGUGAGUAAUGCCUAGGAAAUUGCCUUGAUGUGGGGGAUAACCAUUGGAAACGAUGGCUAAUACCGCAUAAUGCCUACGGGCCAAAGAGGGGGACCUUCGGGCCUCUCGCGUCAAGAUAUGCCUAGGUGGGAUUAGCUAGUUGGUGAGGUAAUGGCUCACCAAGGCGACGAUCCCUAGCUGGUCUGAGAGGAUGAUCAGCCACACUGGAACUGAGACACGGUCCAGACUCCUACGGGAGGCAGCAGUGGGGAAUAUUGCACAAUGGGCGAAAGCCUGAUGCAGCCAUGCCGCGUGUAUGAAGAAGGCCUUCGGGUUGUAAAGUACUUUCAGUUGUGAGGAAGGGUGUGUAGUUAAUAGCUGCGCAUCUUGACGUUAGCAACAGAAGAAGCACCGGCUAACUCCGUGCCAGCAGCCGCGGUAAUACGGAGGGUGCGAGCGUUAAUCGGAAUUACUGGGCGUAAAGCGCAUGCAGGUGGUUCAUUAAGUCAGAUGUGAAAGCCCGGGGCUCAACCUCGGAACUGCAUUUGAAACUGGUGAACUAGAGUGCUGUAGAGGGGGGUAGAAUUUC